UCAAGAAACUGAUACAGCUGGCGUAUCAGCCAAAGCUAAUAAAAGGCACCUCUGGCCACUGCCUCAACCUCGGACAUUAUUUUAGGCUAAACAAGUAGGUAUUUAGGGCUCUCUUAAAUGCCAAUAAAGAAUUCAAAUUAUGGAUUUCUGCAGGGAGUGCAUUCCACAGACUAGGAGCGGCUACAGAGAAGGCCCGCCUCUGAGUCACCACUAGACGAGCCGGUGACAACUGGAGCCGGACCUCCUUAGAUGAUCUUAGCGUGCGGUGGGGAUCAGACCGAAGAAGGCACUCUCUAAGUGGUUUCAUGUAGAUGUUAAACAAAAUUGGAGACAAUACGGAGCCCUGAGGGAUACCAUACCAAUGUUCAGAUUUUGAAGAACAACAGUCCCCAAGGGGCACCAUCUGGAAUCUGCCCGAGAGAUGCAGUAGAAUCACUUUACAAUUGUCAGAAGCAACAACUAGCUGAACAACAACCACAAUCUGCAACCACAAGAUGCAUUUGGGGAAUUGGUGUUGUCAGGUUUUGAUAUUGGUUCUCAAUGGGAUAACUAAAAUAAUUAAUACAGGAUAAUGAAGAUGCUAAUGAAAUUAGUAAUAUGGUUACUAUUAGUACAUGGCAAGCAUACAUAAUGAGUUUUACAGCUUCACUAGAUUUCAAGAGCUAUUUUCUUUUCAUUGUAUACUGAGAUGCCAGAGCAUAAUUGCUGAGCUUGGGUCAUCACUUUGUCACAAAGAACAACUAUGUUAUUUCUUAAUAUGUUAUGGGGCAUGCCCUGCAACAAUUAUUCUGUCUUUAGACAAAAUACUCAUUGACUUCAAAGAACAGCUUGGUUUCAGAUUCAAAGCAACUGAUUUGUGCAAAUAGAAAACUUCUUAAUGUAAAAAGUAUGUCAAUAGAUGUUUUCCCUUCCCUCACACUAUACAAACAUAAAAAUUACCUUGCUUGAUCAGACCAAGGUCCAUAUACCUUGUAUUCUGUUUCUAAGAAUGGCUAGGCAGAAGAUUCUAGAAGUACAUACAAGGACAUAAGGAUGACGGCCAUUUCAUGUUAUUUCUCCUUGGCAUCUGUUUUCUCAGGUAUAUUUAGAGGUUACAUUUAGCUGUCAAUGGUAAUAGCUGAAAGGUGCCAAACACAGUGGUAAUAAUCAGUGGAUAUUGUGAUGUCACCUCUCAUUACAUCUGAACCUUUAUUAUAUCUGAACCUUGCUUGCUAAAUGACAAACGUUUACCAUCUGCAAUCCAAUAACAGAACUCUGUGAAAAACCUACAUCUUUAGAACACCUCUUGCUUUGUUUACCCUUCAACGGCAGAGAGUACUGAGUAUGGAAAUGGUACCCAUGGAGAAUAAAAUGCAUUCCCAGAGGACUGAGUGUUGAUUGCAUAGGGGGCAUGAUAGGGCCUUAGUAGUUUUCACUGUUCUUCAGAUCUUUAUGGAAUUAUGCUAUUCUGUCUUGGGAUUUUUGUGCCAAUAUUUAAUGGACUUCAACAAUGAAUGCCUGUCACAAGCAAAACCUAUAACUCUUCCAACAAAAUCAUCAGGCGUGAUUAUUGCCAGCAAUAUGGUAGAGAAUGAAACAAAAACAAUGUGAAACGAUCAGUUACUUGCCAUUGUUUAAUUGUAGUGCAGUUCCAGUUUGCGCAAGACAACCGCAGUGGGCUUAUGGAAGGAAGAUUCAGCUAGCUCUUUUACGUUUGAAUGCAAAAGACUUAGUGGCCAUUCUCUGUGCUCACAACAAACUUUCCCGGUUAGCUCAUAGAAGGCACUUAUUGUUGCUGUGUGUUAAUUUUCCAUCAUUAAAAAUGGAAUAAUGGAACUUCAUAGAGGACUUGCAAGGGGGGAAAAGCAUUAAACUGUGAAAGGCAAGGCAUUUUGAGUACCAGAGUAAUGGGGACCAUAUAAGUGCUUAAUAGUGCUAGAAACUGAGCACAUGGGAUUUGAGUACAUAGUUCUAUUAGUCUCUAUUGAUAGGAAAAUACCUUAAGAAUGGGAGGGUAUAUUAAUACCCAUAUACACAUCCCAUAUAAACAUUCUUAUAAAAACUUAUGCUCUGGAUGCUAAUUAAAUUAAUGCCAAACACUCAAAAAGAAAUGUAGAUGAAACAAAAAAUAUCUGUAGUGAAUACAAAUGCAACAAAGAAGUAGAGAGACAUGGAAAGUCCAUGAAAUUUUAAUAUGUUGCUCAUUAAAGUACACCAUUUAUUUCUAAUACUGAUAUAAGAAGGAUGCCUAAGUACAACAGUGUAUGAUGAUUUGCUCUUAAUGGUUUUGUCAUAAAUCUCUUGGAUUAUGAUUGGUGGAAUUCUGUGCCUUUAUUGAUUGUUCUGUGCCAACUUAUUGGAGCAUAGGAGUGGGAAUUUCUAACACAAUGUGUGAUCAAAGGUAGUUCUUUGAGGAAAUUAGUGUAUCCUCUUUAUUCUCCUAAGCAAGAGUUACAGAAGAGCUUCCCAGCCACACUGGCAGCAUUAAUAAUUACAGUCACAUCAUGACAUGUGAAACAAUUGCAAAAAAGAAAAGACAAAGACACAAAGCACACUUGUAAUUAUGUAGAAAGGUUAUGGAAAUAAUCAAAUUGGGGCAUAUGAUAUGAGCAAUAUGACUUAAAAUAUCCAGGAAAAGUAUCUCCUGCGGAAUACUUGAACCACUGAAAGUGAUUUGCAUUUGUACUGUAAUAGCUAGAGGCACAAUGCUGUGUGUUUGGUUUGAGACCUCAGGGCGUAGCCUUUCUAACUGCAGAACUCCUUGGAUACACAACAUCCAUAGUGAUUUCAAGCAACUUCUCGAAAACUGGAAAAUAUAACUGCCUUUAGUCUAAUUAAAUAGAGGCUGCACUCAUACUUCUUGAAUGAUAUUCAUGAACACCACAAAAUGCCAACAGCUCUAUAAGAGAAGAAAGAGAAAAGGAACUGCUUUCAAUUUCCUCAUAGUAAACAAUGGGCUAUAACGUAUAAUUUUAGGAAAGGAACACUCAGCAACCAAACCCUGUCAGGUAAAACAACCCUUCCUGUUAGUUUAGCAAUGGUUACUUUCAAAACUUCAUCAUCUUGGGACAAGACUCAGAAACAUGAAUAUUAAAGCCUGUUCUGCAGGGAUGAGAAAGAAUCCUUAGAGCUCACUAGAGAAAGAAAAAGUGAGCCUGUAUCACCAGAAGGAAAGAUUGAAACACAAGCAAGCAAUUAACCGUUACUCUGGUCUCCCAUAUGAAAAAACCAGAAACCUCUGCUGUAGCCCUUAGUUCUUCAUGCGGGGAGCAAAGACUGCUGUGGUACACAGCCUCAUUCAGACAUUAUGUUGUAUGGGCAUUCAGGUGUCUGUACAUAGGUCCAUGUUUUUGUGUGAAUAGCUGCACAUACAUUUAUUGUAAAAGUGAAUCUGGGUACAGGCUCCCUCAAUGCUGGGUACAGAUAAGAAGUGUACUACUGGAUGCACAUCAAACUCUAUGUGCAAAUAAAUUAAUGAUCAUUCAGAACUGUACAUGUGUACACAGACUGUACAUACCCUGAACAUUACAUGUGAAUAACAGUAUGUGUGUACAGAUCUGUAAGUAUGUAUACUGCACACAGACUGUAGAUGCAUUGAGCCACUCUAAUUAUGUUGCAGAUUAGAUCUGUCUCUAAAAUCAGAGCGAUAUAGACAAUCUAUAUGGAGGGCAAAAUGGCAAUUUCCACUGCAUUACCAUGGUGACUACUUUGGCAAAUACUGGCCUUGCACGUGAAUCCUCACAUCAGUUCGUAGCGGUUUGUGAUAUUGCCCACUAUAGCCCUUUCCAGACAUUAUGUUUUAAGUGUGUUCAGAUAUCUAUACACUGCCCUGAGCCUUUUGGAAGGGCGGUAUAAAAUUUCUAAUAAU
Hemicordylus capensis (graceful crag lizard) is the source of this 3847-nucleotide long non-coding RNA. RefSeq lists it as uncharacterized. The transcript has 3 exons. The record is from RefSeq and is a predicted model, not a curated record. Lineage: Eukaryota; Metazoa; Chordata; Lepidosauria; Squamata; Cordylidae.